This 301-nucleotide ribosomal RNA is filed under the name uncultured bacterium. RNAcentral's name for it is "partial 16S ribosomal RNA". It matches the Rfam family "Bacterial small subunit ribosomal RNA", at positions 509 to 807 of the family's 1533-position model. The record is from RNAcentral.
CAGCCGCCGCGGUAAAACGAAGGGUGCAAGCGUUAAUCGGAAUUACUGGGCGUAAAGCGUGCGUAGGCGGUGAGUUAAGUCUGCUGUGAAAUCCCCGGGCUCAACCUGGGAAUGGCAGUGGAUACUGGCUCGCUAGAGUGUGUCAGAGGAUGGUGGAAUUCCCGGUGUAGCGGUGAAAUGCGUAGAGAUCGGGAGGAACAUCAGUGGCGGAGGCGGCCAUCUGGGACAACACUGACGCUGAGGCACGAAAGCGUGGUGAGCAAACAGGAUUAGAUACCCCCGUAGUCCCUGUCUCUUAUAC